CAGCCGCCGCGGGAAAACGAAGGUCCCAAGCGUUGUUCGGAAUCACUGGGCGUAAAGGGUGUGUAGGAGGUUUGGUAAGUCAGGUGUGAAAUCCCACAGCUCAACUGUGGAACUGCAUUCGACACUGCCGAACUAGAGGCUUGGAGGGGGAAGCGGAAUUCUUGGUGUAGCGGUGAAAUGCGUAGAUAUCAAGAGGAACACCGGUGGCGAAGGCGGCUUCCUGGACAAGUCCUGACUCUGAAACACGAAAGCCAGGGGAGCGAACGGGAUUAGAUACCCCCGUAGUCCCUGUCUCUUAUAA
RNAcentral lists this ribosomal RNA (301 nucleotides) under uncultured bacterium. RNAcentral describes it as "partial 16S ribosomal RNA". It matches the Rfam family "Bacterial small subunit ribosomal RNA", at positions 509 to 809 of the family's 1533-position model. The record is from RNAcentral.